Molecule: ribosomal RNA, 117 nt
Filed under: Leucobacter sp. cx-328
Lineage: Bacteria; Bacillati; Actinomycetota; Actinomycetes; Micrococcales; Microbacteriaceae
Source: RNAcentral
UACGGUGGUUAUAGCGUCAGGGAAACGCCCGGUUGCAUUCCGAACCCGGAAGCUAAGACUGACAGCGCCGAUGGUACUGCACUCGGGAGGGUGUGGGAGAGUAGGUCACCGCCGGAC